RNAcentral lists this ribosomal RNA (321 nucleotides) under uncultured Trinematidae. RNAcentral's name for it is "bacterial SSU rRNA". The stretch from base 82 to 321 matches the Rfam family "Eukaryotic small subunit ribosomal RNA", at positions 713 to 955 of the family's 1831-position model. RNAcentral also lists the same sequence under 1 other name. Lineage: Eukaryota; Cercozoa; Imbricatea; Euglyphida; Trinematidae. The record is from RNAcentral.
GAUUUCUGGUACGAUGCGCCUGGUCCACCAGGGCAACCUGUGUGAGUGCCGGUGUGCGUCUGCCAUCCUUGUACAGAACGGCUCUACCCUUCAUUGGGUCGGAGUCGCCAUGUACAUCUUUUACUUUGAAAAAAUUAGAGUGUUUAAAGCAGGCUUUUGCCAGAAUACAUUAGCAUGGAAUAAUAAUUUAGGACUUUGUUUCUAUUUUGUUGGUUUCUAGAAGUGAAGUAAUGAUUGAUAGGGAUAGUUGGGGGUGCUAGUAUUCAUCGGCCAGAGGUGAAAUUCUUGGAUUCGAUGAAGACUAACUAAUGCGAAAGCAUU